RNAcentral lists this transfer RNA (72 nucleotides) under Ovis aries (sheep). It matches the Rfam family "tRNA". Rfam says of the family: Transfer RNA (tRNA) molecules are approximately 80 nucleotides in length. Their secondary structure includes four short double-helical elements and three loops (D, anti-codon, and T loops). Further hydrogen bonds mediate the characteristic L-shaped molecular structure. tRNAs have two regions of fundamental functional importance: the anti-codon, which is responsible for specific mRNA codon recognition, and the 3' end, to which the tRNAs corresponding amino acid is attached (by aminoacyl-tRNA synthetases). tRNAs cope with the degeneracy of the genetic code in two manners: having more than one tRNA (with a specific anti-codon) for a particular amino acid; and 'wobble' base-pairing, i.e. permitting non-standard base-pairing at the 3rd anti-codon position. Lineage: Eukaryota; Metazoa; Chordata; Mammalia; Artiodactyla; Bovidae. The record is from Rfam by way of RNAcentral.
UCCUUAGUAGCUCAGAUGGUAAAGUAUCUGCCUGCAAUGCAGGAGACCCAGGUUCAAUCCCUGGGUUGGGAA